This is a long non-coding RNA of Oncorhynchus masou masou (cherry salmon), 366 nucleotides long. RefSeq lists it as uncharacterized. NCBI's taxonomy places the organism in Eukaryota, Metazoa, Chordata, Actinopteri, Salmoniformes, Salmonidae. The transcript is spliced from 6 exons. The record is from RefSeq and is a predicted model, not a curated record.
AGUCAAACGCGUUUAACCCGAACCCUUCCCGUCUCCUUCAAAGAUCACCGAAGUUGAGGAACAUUGCUUGAUUCUUCUCCCCUGGACCUUGGGGGACUGUUUUUGUGGAUGAUGUUAAGGGCCUACCAAAGCAAGGUUUCUCAAACAACUGUGGGGUGUUUGUUUUGAUGUAUGCUCUGUACACUCCAAUGGAAGCACAGUGUGAUUUCACUGAGGAAAACAUGCAGCAAAUUAGGCGAUGGUGGUGCCUAGUUCUCCUGUAGAACUUUCCCAUGCAAUCUGAAGAAGAGAGGUUGAAAGAUCGAAAAAGGCGGCGAAAACAAAACACACUACAGGUAGAUGUCAUAUGAAGAGUGGUAUAGUCUU